GUACACUCCUGCGGGAGGCAGCAGUGGGGAAUAUUGCACAAUGGGCGGAAGCCUGAUGCAGCAACGCCGCGUGCGGGAUGACGGCCUUCGGGUUGUAAACCGCUUUCGCCUGUGACGAAGCGUGAGUGACGGUAAUGGGUAAAGAAGCACCGGCUAACUACGUGCCAGCAGCCGCGGUGAUACGUAGGGUGCGAGCGUUGUCCGGAUUUAUUGGGCGUAAAGGGCUCGUAGGUGGUUGAUCGCGUCGGAAGUGUAAUCUUGGGGCUUAACCCUGAGCGUGCUUUCGAUACGGGUUGACUUGAGGAAGGUAGGGGAGAAUGGAAUUCCUGGUGGAGCGGUGGAAUGCGCAGAUAUCAGGAGGAACACCAGUGGCGAAGGCGGUUCUCUGGGCCUUUCCUGACGCUGAGGAGCGAAAGCGUGGGGAGCGAACAGGCUUAGAUACCCUGGUAGUCCCA
This 455-nucleotide ribosomal RNA is filed under the name uncultured organism. RNAcentral describes it as "partial 16S ribosomal RNA". It matches the Rfam family "Bacterial small subunit ribosomal RNA", at positions 331 to 797 of the family's 1533-position model. The record is from RNAcentral.